RNAcentral lists this ribosomal RNA (467 nucleotides) under uncultured bacterium. RNAcentral describes it as "partial 16S ribosomal RNA". It matches the Rfam family "Bacterial small subunit ribosomal RNA", at positions 29 to 507 of the family's 1533-position model. The record is from RNAcentral.
ACGAACGCUGGCGGCGUGCUUAACACAUGCCAGUCGAACGGAAAGGCCCUGCUUUUGUGGGGUGCUCGAGUGGCGAACGGGUGAGUAACACGUGAGUAACCUGCCCUUGACUUUGGGAUAACUUCAGGAAACUGGGGCUAAUACCGGAUAGGAGCUCCUGCUGCAUGGUGGGGGUUGGAAAGUUUCGGCGGUUGGGGAUGGACUCGCGGCUUAUCAGCUUGUUGGUGGGGUAGUGGCUUACCAAGGCUUUGACGGGUAGCCGGCCUGAGAGGGUGACCGGCCACAUUGGGACUGAGAUACGGCCCAGGCUCCUACGGGAGGCAGCAGUGGGGAAUAUUGCACAAUGGGCGGAAGCCUGAUGCAGCAACGCCGCGUGCGGGAUGACGGCCUUCGGGUUGUAAACCGCUUUCGCCUGUGACGAAGCGUGAGUGACGGUAAUGGGUAAAGAAGCACCGGCUAACUACGUG